Esox lucius (northern pike) is the source of this 606-nucleotide long non-coding RNA. NCBI's taxonomy places the organism in Eukaryota, Metazoa, Chordata, Actinopteri, Esociformes, Esocidae. The record is from Ensembl.
CACUAUAGGGUCGCCGCUACGUUACGUUAGGCAAGUGCGCAGCUGGCGCGUUGAUAACAUGAGGCGAUCUAAUAAACCCUCCGGUGCACAGGGACGAAAACGGAGAAAGGAUGAAGAGAAAAAGAAAGCCCAGUAUAGAGAUGCACUCAGGCAAUAUUUGCAGAGGCCGGCACCUGCUGGAGACAGGACACCUGAUCCUUCAUCUGAACUUUGGCUUUGGCUGCUUUGGACUGUUGGGUUGGAGCAGAACACAGGAUGAUAAGGAAUGAGCUCCCCAGAGAGGACAGAAGAGACAGUGUAAGAUGCCCAUUUUAGAAUCUCUGAACUGUCAUGCAUUUUAGCUAGCAUAAUUUUACAAUGGGAUAAGACAGUUGUUACAGUGUUUAUACAGACUGAUGAAAAAGGUGGAAUAAAGUAAAUACAUUAAGUACUGAACUAAUGAGCUAUGCUGUGUGCAAAGCUAUUUAGUGAAAUUGGUUUGCAUGCAAUUGCUUCAAUAUGUACACCACUAUUUAUAAAAAAAAAAAAAGCGUUGAUACUUAACAAGAAUAAUAGCACUGAGUCUUUUUGUUGAACGUUUAAUGAAUUGUGAAUCUUAGGUCAUUC